This 255-nucleotide ribosomal RNA is filed under the name uncultured bacterium. RNAcentral describes it as "partial 16S ribosomal RNA". It matches the Rfam family "Bacterial small subunit ribosomal RNA", at positions 793 to 1055 of the family's 1533-position model. The record is from RNAcentral.
GUCCAUGCCGUAAACGAUGUCUACUAGCCGUUGGGCCUUUGAGGCUUUAGUGGCGCAGCUAACGCGAUAAGUAGACCGCCUGGGAGUACGGUCGCAAGACUAAACUCAAAUGAAUUGACGGGGCCCGCACAAGCAGCGGAGCAUGUGGUUUAAUUCGAAGCAACGCGAAGAACCUUACCAGGGCUUGACAUUUAGGUGAAGCGGCGGAAACGUCGUGGCCGAAAGGAGCCUAAACAGGUGGUGCAUGGCUGUCGU